AGGUACAAUUGGGCAAAAUGAGAGAAUUUUGAAGAUCAACUUUGUUAAUUUAAAAUUUAUGGAAAAUUCAUUUUGCUUUGCCCCAACUUUAGUUUGUUUUUGGAGAAGUCCCCUCUGAUUCUGAGGCACUUCCAGGCCAGUAGAUAGUCAUAAAAAUAUUAGCAUUGUCUUUAGCUUCCUAGAGGGAUGAACUUUCCAGUACAUAAUGUGGAAUGAAUGAUGGAUGAUGGAAUUACAUUCCGAAAUCAUCAUGAGAAUUCCCUUUAUGGCUCAGCAGUUAACAAACCCGACUAGGAUCCAUGAGGAUGAGGGUUCGAUCCCUGGCCUCUCUCAGUGGGUUAAGGAUCCAGCAUUGCCAUGAGCUGUGGUGUAGGUCACAGAUGUGGUUCAGAUCCUGCGUGGCUGUGGCUGUGGUGUAGGCUGGCGGCUACAGUUCCGAUUAGACCCCCAGACCUGAGAACUUCCAUGUGCCGCAGGUGCAGCCCUAAAAAGGAAAAACAAAAAACAAAAAACCCAAAACCACUACCACCGACAAAAAACCCAACUUUUUAGUACCCACACAUCAAUACAUUGCGUGUCUUACAGUUAUGUUAAAAUAUUAUGUCUAGGAAUUCCCUGGUGGCUCAGGGAAUUAAGGAUCUGGCAUAGUCACCUCUGUGGCUCAGGCUGCUGCUGUGGCAUGGGUUUGAUCCCUGGCCCAGAAAUUUCCACAUGUCACAGGUGUGGCCCCCAAUAAUAUAUUAUGUCUCCAUUUUGGUUGAUACCUCAAAGGCUACCAGCAAAUCUAUCCAAAAGCAAAGUUCUAGGUCACUAAAUAAGUGCCUAUGUAGAGAAUUGAUUCAGUGACUGAGGGGAUUUCUUUGGUAAGAACUGGUGUGCUAGGUAAGCCUCACUCAACUCCAGAAGGAAAUGAGGGUGCUUCCCCUUAACUUAAGCUGAGAGAGAGAGAAAAAAAAAAUAACAAGUUAAAGAGCCCUGGAAUUUUAGAGUCCAAGGACUCAUAUACUCUGAUGUGGCUGAGGAACAAGAAACUAGAAAACUGCUUUUCCUCUGAUGAUGGGGAAAGGAUGCAAGAUGUUGCUCUUGGUCAGCAGUGGGCUUACAGGUAGGAGUCCACCUGGGCCUACAGGUAGGAGUCCACCUGGAACCGUUUUGAUUCCACAGGAGACUUCCGGAAGCAGAAGCUGUAAUGGCAACAGAGCCACUGGAGGACAACCAGAUGCUUAGGGACUGAGCCAGGACGCAGAAGGAGGCAGUCUCAGGACCUGUGCUCAGAUGUCCCAGAGGUUUGUCUCCAAGGUCCUUAGAAGAGGCCACAAAAUGUGGGGACCUUCUGCAUCUAGGGAGCAUUGUCCUUGCCCACUCUUGUCCCUUGCACUGGCCUUCAGGAACUGAUGAGACUCCUGGCCUUCAGGGAGAAGACCCUGAAUUCAGACACUCUAUCAGCAGCCUCUCCAGGGUCAGUUAAUAGCUGUCACUUCCCUGUGUUCAUAAAAGCAGCCCUACAUUAGGUUGUAUGAGUCUGAAUGAUGAUCUCUGCUCUUUGGGUAUACUUUUGUUCAUAGGUAAGUAGUAUUUGUUAAUUGCUUAGCUAUAGCUCUACCUCUCUUAGAGAUUACUUUUCUAUGCCUUACUCUUUGGAUGAGAGACCAAGUGAGUGGGACAGUGAGGUGUAAUGACCUGGGAGGUUUCAAGGGAAGGGGUAAUUGAAUUGUCUGUCCUGUCCUGUGGGCGACAGGCUUAGUAUAUGUGAACCAGGGAGCUUCCGUAAUUUCGGGUAUUUCAGUAUCACUCAGAAUGGCCCUCUGCUGGCUUACUGAUUCUUUAUUAUUAAAUAAAGAACAGGGAGUUCCCGUUGUGGCUCAGCAGGUUAUGAACCCGACUAGUAUCCAUGAGGAUGUCAGUUUGAUCCCUGGCCUCGCUCAAUGAGUUAAGGAUCUGGUGUUGCCAUGAGCUGUGGUGUAGGUUGCAGAUGAAUUGCUGUGACUGUGGUGUAGGCUGGCAGCUGCAGCUCUGAUUUGACCUCUAGCCUGGGAAUUUCCAUAUGCC
RNAcentral lists this long non-coding RNA (2049 nucleotides) under Sus scrofa (pig). RNAcentral's name for it is "lncRNA (ENSSSCG00000043712.1)". The record is from RNAcentral. Lineage: Eukaryota; Metazoa; Chordata; Mammalia; Artiodactyla; Suidae.